CCCUUAGAUGUCCGGGGCUGCACGCGCGCUACACUGAAGGAAUCAGCGUGCUAAAACCAUUGUCGAAAGGCAUUGGUAAACCCAUUAAAAUCCUACGUGAUUGGGAUCGGGAAUUGCAAUUAUUUCCCUUGAACGAGGAAUUCCCAGUAAGUGUGGGUCAUAAGCUCGCGUUGAUUACGUCCCUGCCCUUUGUACACACCGCCCGUCGCUGCCCGGGACUGAGCCGUUUCGAGAAAAGCGAGGACUGCUGCUGUCGGGGCUUUCGGGCCUUGGCUUCGGUGGAAACCGCUUUAAUCGCAGUGGCUUGAACCGGGCAAAAGUCGUAACA
Molecule: ribosomal RNA, 328 nt
Filed under: uncultured eukaryote
Lineage: Eukaryota
Description: partial 18S ribosomal RNA
Rfam family: Eukaryotic small subunit ribosomal RNA
Source: RNAcentral